RNAcentral lists this ribosomal RNA (2400 nucleotides) under Triticum aestivum (bread wheat). RNAcentral's name for it is "partial small subunit ribosomal RNA". Lineage: Eukaryota; Viridiplantae; Streptophyta; Magnoliopsida; Poales; Poaceae. The record is from RNAcentral.
AUGGACGUCGUGUGUAUAGCGGCGCUCAAAGCCCAAUCGCGUUCGCAUCUCCCACGCGGCCACGCCGACGGCCGAAGCGCGCCGCCAUGCCCCGGCCUGGUCGGCGUACGCUCACCCCCGGCGAUUCAAACCCGGCGUACGGCAUCCGCCGCAUGCGCAAGCCCUAAGUGCGCCGGUGGCAGCCAGCGCGGCGCCCGGUGCGCCGCCGCCGGGCACCCCUUCCCCUCUUUGCCGCCUUGCGGUGGGGGGAUGUUUUUGGAUUGGUUAAAUGAUUUCUCAUUCCAUGCCAUUUUCCACGCUGUGAGAAGAUCACGCGCACCAACUGCAGAGGAAUUACAAGGCAAGCCACACCUCUCCUCGUUUUACGGAUUUGAUCUUGGUUUGCAAAUGGAUUACCAAGGGGGCAAUGUUAGGGAUUUUCUUCAUGCUAAUGGACAUGUGGUGCUUGAAAGAGUGGAUAACAACUAUAAUCUAAGAUCUUUCACUCAAGAAGAGAUAGAAGACAUCACCAGUGGGUAUAGCACCGUGUUGGGAGAAGGGGGAUUUGGUACGGUAUACAAAGGAAAGUUAGAUGAUCUUCAUCCAGUCGAAGUAAAGAGAUACAAAAAUGGAACCAAGAAAGAAGAGUUUGCCAAAGAGGUUAUAGUGCAUUCCCAGAUAAAUCACAAGAAUGCUGUCAGACUAUUUGGUUGCUGCACGGAGGUAAAUGCUCUUACGAUUGUUAUGGAGUUUGUAUGCAAUGGCAACCUCUACAACAUCCUUCACCGCAGCAGCAGCAAUGCUAAUGGUACUGCCCCCUUCCCUUUGGACAAACGUUUGGACAUCGCCAUUGAGUCAGCUGAAGUAUUAUCAUGCAUGCACUCAAUGUAUAGUCCUGUUCUUCAUGGAGACAUCAAACCCGCUAAUAUACUGCUAGAUGAAAAUCUUCGGCCAAAGAUAUCAGAUUUUGGGAUAGCAAGAUUGCUUGCUGCUGACGAGACUCAGCAUACCAGAUAUGUCAUUGGUUGCAUAGGUUACAUAGACCCUUUGUUCUGUCAGAGUGGGAUUCUAACUCCCAAGAGUGAUGUAUACAGUUUUGGAGUUGUUCUGCUUGAAAUCAUCACCCGAAAGAAAGCUGUGGAUGGUAAAAUCAUCCUUGCUCAAAGUUUUGCCGAAGCCCUGAGAAAAGGGAAAAAGGUGAGGCAAAUGUUUGAUCAGGAAAUAGCGGAUGAUAAAAAGAAUAUGAAAUUUCUUGAAGAUGUCGCAAAACUAGCAGCUGAAUGCUUGCAAAUGGAGGACAAAAUGCGUCCAGAAAUGGUUGAAGUAGCAGACAGACUUAGGACAAUUAAGAAAGCUUAUCACCAGCGUAAGGGCAGGAAUCCUACAGGUAGCAGCUCUGGACUUGCUAAAAGUGGAAAGGCAGAGGAUAUGCUUUCCCCUACACCUAUUACCACUGCUACUAUCAACAACACUGGCAAAAUUCCACCAACUGUGCUUUCCCCUACACCUAUUUCCAUAGAUGAACUGAAGGAAAUAACCAAAAAAUUUAGCAAUGAUGCUCUAAUAGGAGAGGGCUUCGACGGUGAAGUUUUUUUCGGAGUGCUGAAAGAUGGACAUAAAUCCGCGAUCAAGAAGCUUAGGCCUAUUAAAGAAAUUAUUUUUGAGGUUCCAGUGGUCUCAAGAUUCAAACAUGAGAAUAUUAUCCAGCUUCUCGGAUACUGUGUUGAAGGAGACAACCGUUUUCUUGCGUACGAGUAUGCAUCCAGGGGAUCCUUGCACGAUAUUCUUUAUGGUAAAAGGAAUGUUAGGGGAGCCGAACCAGGACUGGUUCUAUCAUGGGCGCAACGCGUGAAGAUUGCCCUGGAUGCUGCAACUGGGCUUGAGUUCCUCCAUGAGAAAGCACAGCCUUGCGUUAUACACUGCAUCAAGUCCAGCAACAUAUUUCUCUUUGACAGCGACGUUGCAAAAAUUGGUUCUCCUGUUGUUUCCAGACAGGCACCUGACUACAUAGAUAAUACUAUUCUUGUGGAUGGUGUUUAUUAUCCUUGCAGUUCCGGUUAUGAUGCUUAUGGGUAUGUAACGCAGAGACAAUAUUAUACAAAGAGUGAUGAUGUCUACCGCUUCGGGGUCGUGCUGCUGGAACUUUUAACUGGUCGAAAGGCAGUUGAUCGUACACUACUACCCCGUGACCAAUACCUUGUGGAAUGGUUUGAAAGAAUGCUUAAUGAAUGCAAGGUGCAGCAAUACGUGGAUCAGAGGCUUGGAGGAGAUUACCCUCCGAAGGCUGUCGCCGAGAUAGCUGCAAUCGCGACGCUCUGUACACAGAACAACAAGGACUACCGGCCACAAAUUAGCUUCGUCGUCAAGGUUCUGAGGAAUCUUUCCUCCGGUGCUGGGGCAUCGGGAGUGGCACUGAAAUAG